AUGCUCUCUCCCGAAGAGUUGGAAGAUUGGCAUCAUAUUACUGCUUGCUUCCCUCUGCUCUCGGAGGAGGAGGACUCGGUGGUCUGGCCCCACUCUACCUCUGGCCGUUUUUUGGUCAAAUCCUUGUACACCAAACUGAUUUCAGGCUCUCCUACUUCCAAGUUCAAGUGCAUAUGGAGUGCCCGCGUCCCACCUAAGAUCAAAAUUUUCCUGUGGCAAGCUUAUCAUGGGAAGCUUCCUGCAGCGGACCAAAUCCGGAAAAGGAACGGCCCGAGUUCGAAUAGAUGUGCCUUGUGUGGGGAUCUUGAAAACACGGAUCACAUUUUCUUCUGGUGCUCCUUGGCUAAAUUUGUUUGGUGCUGCAUCCGCUCCUGGCUCCAGGUGUCGUGGGACCCCUCUUCUUUCGAGGAUCUUAGGGGUUUGGUCAACGGUUUAUCUGGGAAUUCAAAAAGGAUCUCCUAG
RNAcentral lists this ribosomal RNA (462 nucleotides) under Triticum aestivum (bread wheat). RNAcentral describes it as "partial small subunit ribosomal RNA". Lineage: Eukaryota; Viridiplantae; Streptophyta; Magnoliopsida; Poales; Poaceae. The record is from RNAcentral.